Molecule: ribosomal RNA, 274 nt
Filed under: uncultured bacterium
Lineage: Bacteria
Description: partial 16S ribosomal RNA
Rfam family: Bacterial small subunit ribosomal RNA
Source: RNAcentral
AUACGGAGGGUGCAAGCGUUGUCCGGAUUUAUUGGGUUUAAAGGGUGCGUAGGUGGCGUGUUAAGUCAGUGGUGAAAGCCUGCAGCUCAACUGUAGAGGUGCCAUUGAUACUGACAUGCUUGAGUAUGGACGAGGUAGGCGGAAUUUGUGGUGUAGCGAUGAAAUGCAUAGAUACCACAAAGAACACCGAUAGCGAAGGCAGCUUACUGGACCAUAACUGACACUGAGGCACGAAAGUGUGGGUAGCGAACAGGAUUAGAUACCCUAGUAGUCC